RNAcentral lists this unclassified non-coding RNA (282 nucleotides) under Streptomyces scabiei. RNAcentral describes it as "partial 16S-23S ribosomal RNA intergenic spacer". The record is from RNAcentral. Lineage: Bacteria; Bacillati; Actinomycetota; Actinomycetes; Kitasatosporales; Streptomycetaceae.
AAGGAGCACUUCUACCAAUCCUUUCGGGGUGAGGUCAGAGGCCAGAUCAUCAGCGAACGUCUGAUGCUGGUUAGCUCAUGGGUGGAACGUUGAUUAUUCGGCCGGUUCGUCGGGCCGGAGGCUGUGAGUACUACCCCUUGUGGGUGUGGAAAGCAUGAUCUCCGGACGGGGAGUGGUCGGGCACGCUGUUGGGUGUCUGAGGGUAUGGCCGUAUGGCUGCCUUCAGUGCCGACCCCGGUAAAGAUUCGCGUCAAGCGGGUUGUGACGGGUGGUUGGUCGUUG